GGUGGCUCAGUGGUAGAGCGCUUGCCUUGAAUGCAUGAGGUCCUGGGUUCGAUUCCUCAGCACCA
This is a non-coding RNA of Dipodomys ordii (Ord's kangaroo rat), 65 nucleotides long. The record is from Rfam. Lineage: Eukaryota; Metazoa; Chordata; Mammalia; Rodentia; Heteromyidae.